Molecule: long non-coding RNA, 319 nt
Organism: Apis florea (little honeybee)
Lineage: Eukaryota; Metazoa; Arthropoda; Insecta; Hymenoptera; Apidae
Source: RefSeq, a predicted model, not a curated record
GUCACAACUUUCCACGCACAGCAGGUGGAAAGCUUGGAAGCGGCACGAGGUCCCUCGUUUUCGUGGCGAAGGUAAUAGCGAAGUCGAUCCACGAAGAAGAACGAGAAGGGUCACACACGAAGCCUACUUUCUUCCUCUUUCUUCACAGCCCGAAAGGGGGGAAGUCGUAUCGUCGCGGGCCCGCGCUCGCCAGCCCGAGCCAGUCACACGGACCCACUCGACGAAUCUCGAUGGGCCUCGCUCGUUUCUCUCGCGCCGCGCUCUAUAAACUUCCGGUUUGAGAAGAGGGAAGGAAGAGUAAUAAGUUGUAAUCGAUAAU